GAUAGCCAAGCUAAAAACAGUAACCGGCAGCUUCAAAUGGCACAGGCAGCAAAGGUAGAAGGGCCUAAAAACAGCAUGCCACUCUAAGCCAUCUGCCAUCUUGGCCCGCCCUGGCUCCCCUCAUCGCUGCAAUGAUGGACGUCUUAGUGCCAUGCGUGGAGAGAACUCUAGAGCGGUGAGCAUCAGUCAGCUCAGUGUCUUGGGUUGGAAGAGCAGGACUGUGUGGGGAGGGGGAGGGGAGGGUUGGCUGCCUCCUACACUCAGUGGCCCACUCACUGUCUGGCUCAAGGUCUCAAUAUCUUUCCAGAAAAGGUGACAGAGGCAGGGGAAGUCUAAAUGAGCAGCAUGGGAAAGCUAUGCUGCCCACAAGCAGAGGUGUCUGAGAGUUCCAGCAGGUUUGAGAGUAAACAUUCACCCCCUUCACUAAAGCUAUGGUAGGCAAGGAAGAAAUGCCAGGUUUACUCAGAGAACAACAACUGAGAUUCAUUUCUUCUAUGAAAAGACCAAGGAUCUUCUUAGCUAUACUCUUGUCCUACAAGCACCAUCUCACAGUCACCUCGUCCAGAGAGCUGCUCAGCCCACCCCUCACCAUGCCUGAGUCACGUCCUGCAUGUGUGGACCAACAGCCUCACCGUGCUGUAUUGAAAUUUCCUUCUUGACCAUUUUCCCCAUUAGGCAGAUCUCCUUGAAGGCAGGAACUAUACCUUGCUUGACCCUUCACAGGAAAUGACCCAGUAUUUCAUGCAUGGUGGGUACUCAGUGUUGGUUUUUAAAUGGUUGAAGAAGUAAGUGCAACCUUUACAUUGACAAGACCUCUAUAAUUUUGUAGCUAAACGGUUCUCUUAAUGUGAAUCUGCUUUGUCUCUGUCUUGAGACUAGAAUCUCCUUGAGGAAAGGCACUUGUCUUUUCUUUAAUAUACAGCCAGCUGUGGGUAUCCUUUUGGGCCCCAUGUUGUCUUUUGAGAUUUCAUGUGCAGAUUCACUAACCAACUUAUGGACUCUCAAGGUCAAUGUAGUAUUAGAAUAUUAUGGGGAUCACUCAUUUAAUUAUGAAUCUGAUUUCUAAAGGAAUUGAAGUAGAUUAUAUACACAGAGAGAUUAAGAAAAACAAGAGAGGAAAUUAAUGAAAACCUAAGAAUGGAAAACAGGGUGAAACCUAGGGUGAAUUAUAAGUAACAUGAUGCCCUGAUAUGUAUACUUUUCAAAAUGGAAUGCAAUUUGAUUCUGAGCUUCCAAGGAAAAAAGUAAAUGUGAACAAUUACACAAAUUGCAAUAUCCAAAAGUUAAAUAAAGAAAAGAAAGAGCUUUGAAUCCAGUGUCAAUCACAUGCAUCUUGGGCACAACCCCACUGAGGAGGAACCCCACUCCCACCAAUGAAAUCAUAGGCCAAAGUGCACAUUCUUGCCAACACGAGAUGGAGGGUGCCAUGCUUCUGUUUGAAGCAUGAUAGGUUACCACAAAAUCUAAAAAGGAGAGGCAGAAAUAAGAGUCAAAAGCUAAUAAAAAUUCCUCUGCACCCCAUCAAUUUUUGUCAUUGUGAUCCAUCCACAUGUCCCAUCUGGCCUAGCACAGUGCAGACCCUUUGCUCCCCAUGGCCUUGAACAGAUUCACUCCAGCAGGAAACACAAAGAAAGCUCUAUUUGGAAAGGGAGCUGACCUUGUAUGAGAGUCUCCCCAGAGCAUGUGUUCCAAACUAUCUCUUCUCUUGUCCCUGACCUGAACCUACCUACUCAUCCAUUAGUAGCUCCCUUGCCUAGCUCUAUGAGGCUUGGGUCCUUCUAGUUCUUAAAUACCUUUCUGGUUUCUUCUCUACCACUCUGCCUUGCCCUGCAGAAUUUCACAUCAUCUCUCCUGACCUUUCUGGGUUCUGAUCGUCUGAACUCAGAGGGUGUGUGUGUGUGUGUGUGUUUCUGCUUCUAAGCUAGCCUCAGGACCACUCAACCCCCAAAUUCCUUGUCUUUCCAGGGCUAUCCUUCUGCUGAAGACCAUCCUUCUUGGUGGAAUCCAAUCUGCUGAAAAGUUGGAACCAACACUUGGUUCUACAGACUAAAAUACAGUGCAAAAAAAAAGUUUAACUGGGAGCAAACGAUUUCUUAAGUGCUCAUGACCACCACGAGAGAUUGAGUGGUACUUACAAGAGUGCUUUGAGAUUUAGGAGGAAAGAAUAAAAAAAAAAAAAAGAAGAGAGAGGGGUGGGGGAAGAGGAGUGGGGAAAGAAGAAGUGUAGGAGAG
RNAcentral lists this long non-coding RNA (2232 nucleotides) under Marmota monax (woodchuck). Lineage: Eukaryota; Metazoa; Chordata; Mammalia; Rodentia; Sciuridae. The record is from RNAcentral.